Molecule: ribosomal RNA, 1356 nt
Filed under: uncultured bacterium
Lineage: Bacteria
Description: bacterial SSU rRNA
Rfam family: Bacterial small subunit ribosomal RNA
Source: RNAcentral
AUUGAACGCUGGCGGCAGGCUUAACACAUGCAAGUCGAACGAUGAUUAUCUAGCUUGCUAGAUAUGAUUAGUGGCGGACGGGUGAGUAACAUUUAGGAAUCUGCCUAGUAGUGGGGGAUAGCUCGGGGAAACUCGAAUUAAUACCGCAUACGACCUACGGGUGAAAGGGGGCGCAAGCUCUUGCUAUUAGAUGAGCCUAAAUCAGAUUAGCUAGUUGGUGGGGUAAAGGCCCACCAAGGCGACGAUCUGUAACUGGUCUGAGAGGAUGAUCAGUCACACCGGAACUGAGACACGGUCCGGACUCCUACGGGAGGCAGCAGUGGGGAAUAUUGGACAAUGGGGGCAACCCUGAUCCAGCCAUGCCGCGUGUGUGAAGAAGGCCUUUUGGUUGUAAAGCACUUUAAGCAGGGAGGAGAGGCUAAUGGUUAAUACCCAUUAGAUUAGACGUUACCUGCAGAAUAAGCACCGGCUAACUCUGUGCCAGCAGCCGCGGUAAUACAGAGGGUGCGAGCGUUAAUCGGAAUUACUGGGCGUAAAGCGAGUGUAGGUGGCUCAUUAAGUCACAUGUGAAAUCCCCGGGCUUAACCUGGGAACUGCAUGUGAUACUGGUGGUGCUAGAAUAUGUGAGAGGGAAGUAGAAUUCCAGGUGUAGCGGUGAAAUGCGUAGAGAUCUGGAGGAAUACCGAUGGCGAAGGCAGCUUCCUGGCAUAAUAUUGACACUGAGAUUCGAAAGCGUGGGUAGCAAACAGGAUUAGAUACCCUGGUAGUCCACGCCGUAAACGAUGGUCUACUAGCCGUUGGGGUCCUUGAGACUUUAGUGGCGCAGUUAACGCGAUAAGUAGACCGCCUGGGGAGUACGGCCGCAAGGUUAAAACUCAAAUGAAUUGACGGGGGCCCGCACAAGCGGUGGAGCAUGUGGUUUAAUUCGAUGCAACGCGAAGAACCUUACCUGGUCUUGACAUAGUGAGAAUCCUGCAGAGAUGCGGGAGUGCCUUCGGGAAUUCACAUACAGGUGCUGCAUGGCUGUCGUCAGCUCGUGUCGUGAGAUGUUGGGUUAAGUCCCGCAACGAGCGCAACCCUUUUCCUUAUUUGCCAGCGGGUUAAGCCGGGAACUUUAAGGAUACUGCCAGUGACAAACUGGAGGAAGGCGGGGACGACGUCAAGUCAUCAUGGCCCUUACGACCAGGGCUACACACGUGCUACAAUGGUUGGUACAGAGGGUUGCUACACAGCGAUGUGAUGCUAAUCUCAAAAAGCCUAUCGUAGUCCGGAUUGGAGUCUGCAACUCGACUCCAUGAAGUCGGAAUCGCUAGUAAUCGCAGAUCAGAAUGCUGCGGUGAAUACGUUCCCGGGCCU